UCUGGACUCAGUAGUUUAGUU
Molecule: microRNA, 21 nt
Filed under: Schistosoma japonicum
Lineage: Eukaryota; Metazoa; Platyhelminthes; Trematoda; Strigeidida; Schistosomatidae
Description: miRNA-3086
Source: RNAcentral